UACGGAGGGUGCGAGCGUUGUCCGGAAUCAUUGGGCGUAAAGGGCGCGUAGGCGGCUUGGUAAGUCAAAGGUGAAAUCCCUCGGCUCAACUGAGGAAUUGCCUUUGAAACUGCCUGGCUCGAGGCCGGGGAGGGGGUAGCGGAAUUCCCAGUGUAGCGGUGAAAUGCGUAGAUAUUGGGAGGAACACCGGUGGCGAAGGCGGCUACCUGGACCGGUUCUGACGCUGAUGCGCGAAAGCGUGGGGAGCAAACAGG
RNAcentral lists this ribosomal RNA (254 nucleotides) under uncultured bacterium. RNAcentral describes it as "partial 16S ribosomal RNA". It matches the Rfam family "Bacterial small subunit ribosomal RNA", at positions 524 to 776 of the family's 1533-position model. The record is from RNAcentral.